AUUGAACGCUGGCGGCAUGCCUUACACAUGCAAGUCGAACGGUAACAGGCCGUCGGGUGCUGUCGAGUGGCGCACGGGUGAGUAAUGUAUCGGAACGUGUCCAGAGGCGGGGGAUAACGCAUCGAAAGCGGUGCUAAUACCGCAUGUGAUCUGAGGAUGAAAGCGGGGGACCACGCAGCAAUGCUUGGCCUCGCGUCUUUGGAGUGGCCGAUGUCAGAUUAGGUAGUUGGUGGGGUAAAGGCCUACCAAGCCGACGAUCUGUAGCUGGUCUGAGAGGACGACCAGCCACACUGGAACUGAGACACGGCCCAGACUCCUACGGGAGGCAGCAGUGGGGAAUUUUGGACAAUGGGCGCAAGCCUGAUCCAGCAAUGCCGCGUGCGGGAAGAAGGUCUUCGGGUUGUAAACCGCUUUUAUUCGGAAAGAAAAGGCUCUGGCUAAUACCUGGGGCUGAUGACGGUACCGAAAGAAUAAGCACCGGCUAACUACGUG
This 492-nucleotide ribosomal RNA is filed under the name uncultured bacterium. RNAcentral describes it as "partial 16S ribosomal RNA". It matches the Rfam family "Bacterial small subunit ribosomal RNA", at positions 30 to 507 of the family's 1533-position model. The record is from RNAcentral.